This 77-nucleotide non-coding RNA is filed under the name Compsopogon caeruleus. Lineage: Eukaryota; Rhodophyta; Compsopogonophyceae; Compsopogonales; Compsopogonaceae. The record is from RNAcentral.
AAAGGUGAGUGCGGGUUUGUGUCGGUUUGUUUGUUUGUUUGGUCGGCUGUUGUUGUUUGGUUUUGAGAAGUGAGGGG